AAGUGGGAUGACGUCAAAUCAUCAUGCCCCUUAUGACCUGGGCUACACACGUGCUACAAUGGUUGGUACAACGAGUUGCGAGUCGGUGACGGCGAGCUAAUCUCUUAAAGCCAAUCUCAGUUCGGAUUGUAGGCUGCAACUCGCCUACAUGAAGUCGGAAUCGCUAGUAAUCGCGGAUCAGCACGCCGCGGUGAAUACGUUCCCGGGCCUU
RNAcentral lists this ribosomal RNA (211 nucleotides) under uncultured Streptococcus sp. RNAcentral's name for it is "partial 16S ribosomal RNA". It matches the Rfam family "Bacterial small subunit ribosomal RNA", at positions 1171 to 1382 of the family's 1533-position model. Lineage: Bacteria; Bacillati; Bacillota; Bacilli; Lactobacillales; Streptococcaceae. The record is from RNAcentral.